AAGAAAAUUAAAUAACAAUAACGAGGUUAUAUACAGGGUAUUACGGUACAGAGUCAAUGUGGAGGCUAUAUACAGGGUAUUACGGUACAGAGUCAAUGUGGAGGCUAUAUACAGGGUGUUACGGUACAGAGUCAAUGUGGAGGCUAUAUACAGGUGGUACCGGUACAGAGUCAAUGUGGAGGCUAUAUACAGGGUGUUACGGUACAGAGUCAAUGUGGAGGCUAUAUACAGGGUGUUACGGUAAAGAGUCAAUGUGGAGGCUAUAUACAGGGUGUUACGGUACAGAGUCAAUGUGGAGGCUAUAUACAGGGUGUUACGGUACAGAGUCAAUGUGGAGGCUAUAUACAGGGUGUUAUGGUACAAAGUCAAUGUGGAGG
This 377-nucleotide long non-coding RNA is filed under the name Salmo salar (Atlantic salmon). Its description in RNAcentral is "lncRNA (ENSSSAG00000102147.1)". The record is from RNAcentral. Lineage: Eukaryota; Metazoa; Chordata; Actinopteri; Salmoniformes; Salmonidae.